GAUGAACGCUGGCGGCGUGCCUAAUACAUGCAAGUCGAGCGAACAGACGAGGAGCUUGCUCCUCUGACGUUAGCGGCGGACGGGUGAGUAACACGUGGAUAACCUACCUAUAAGACUGGGAUAACUUCGGGAAACCGGAGCUAAUACCGGAUAAUAUAUUGAACCGCAUGGUUCAACAGUGAAAGACGGUUUUGCUGUCACUUAUAGAUGGAUCCGCGCCGCAUUAGCUAGUUGGUAAGGUAACGGCUUACCAAGGCAACGAUGCGUAGCCGACCUGAGAGGGUGAUCGGCCACACUGGAACUGAGACACGGUCCAGACUCCUACGGGAGGCAGCAGUAGGGAAUCUUCCGCAAUGGGCGAAAGCCUGACGGAGCAACGCCGCGUGAGUGAAGAAGGUCUUCGGAUCGUAAAACUCUGUUAUUAGGGAAGAACAAAUGUGUAAGUAACUAUGCACGUCUUGACGGUACCUAAUCAGAAAGCCACGGCUAACUACGUG
RNAcentral lists this ribosomal RNA (497 nucleotides) under uncultured bacterium. RNAcentral describes it as "partial 16S ribosomal RNA". It matches the Rfam family "Bacterial small subunit ribosomal RNA", at positions 28 to 507 of the family's 1533-position model. The record is from RNAcentral.